Molecule: ribosomal RNA, 372 nt
Filed under: uncultured organism
Description: bacterial SSU rRNA
Rfam family: Bacterial small subunit ribosomal RNA
Source: RNAcentral
CGUAGGGGGCAAGCGUUGUCCGGAUUUAUUGGGCGUAAAGCGCGUGUAGGCGGCCAUGUAGGUCUGACGUGAAAUCCCGAGGCUCAACCUCGGCAGGUCGUUGGAAACCAUAUGGCUAGAGUCCGGAAGAGGAGAGUGGAAUUCCUGGUGUAGCGGUGAAAUGCGCAGAUAUCAGGAAGAACACCGAUGGCGAAGGCAGCUCUCUGGGACGGUACUGACGCUGAGACGCGAAAGCGUGGGGAGCGAACAGGAUUAGAUACCCUGGUAGUCCACGCCGUAAACGAUGGGUGCAAGGUGUGGGCGGUGUCGACUCCGUCCGUGCCGAAGCUAACGCAUUAAGCACCCCGCCUGGGGAGUACGGCCGCAAGGCUA